RNAcentral lists this transfer RNA (73 nucleotides) under Acinetobacter virus 133. RNAcentral's name for it is "Acinetobacter phage 133 tRNA". It matches the Rfam family "tRNA". From Rfam's summary of the family: Transfer RNA (tRNA) molecules are approximately 80 nucleotides in length. Their secondary structure includes four short double-helical elements and three loops (D, anti-codon, and T loops). The record is from Rfam by way of RNAcentral. Lineage: Duplodnaviria; Heunggongvirae; Uroviricota; Caudoviricetes; Pantevenvirales; Straboviridae.
UCCUCAGUAGCUCAGUUGGUAGAGCGACGCACUGUUACUGCGUUGGUCGUACGUUCGAACCGUACCUGGGGAG